UAAAUAAGAUGCUGAAUAGGUUUUAUUUUGAUCUCUAAAGAAGCGCUGAUCUAGACUCUGGGCUGUGAUAGAUUAUUUAUAAAUAUCUAUACAAACUCCACUGCAUCCAUAUUCACAUAGAUCAUAAAAAACCUGCCAAAUAACCCUGGUUUAGCAAACCCUCUAAUGAAAUCCUGGAAGUAUAGUCUGACUCAUGCCCUGAAGAUCAGUAAAUCUAGGCUCCGUCAGACUUAGGGCUUGUCUACACUUACCAGGGGAACGAUGUGUGGUGAUUGAUGCAUCGGCAGUCGAUUUAGUGGGUCUAGACCCGCUAAAUCUACGGCAGAUCACUCUCCUGUCGACUCCUGUACUCCACCUGAACGAGAAGUGCAAGGGGAGUCGACGGGAGAGCAUCUCCUGUCGACAUAGCAUAGUGUGGACCCCGCGGUAGGUAGAUCUAAGUACAUCAACUUCAGCUAUGCUAUUCAUAUAGAUCGUUAUAACUUAGAUCCUUCUCCCUCUGUAGUGUAGACAAGGCUUAAGACUGGCAGUGGAUUCCUCAGUCAAGGAGCACAUGCUGAAAAUGCCACCCCCACCCCCAGCAUUUAAACCAAAGAACCAUUAACUUGAGGACUAGACUGCUGGAACUUGUGUUAGCUAGAUUCUGGGCACUGUACCUGUUCUAUGAGCCAUUAGCAACUCUGAAGGAUGCCUACUAUGAUGUGACUUUGAAGCCACUGGACGAAGUUUGGCAAGAGAAAACAGAGGCAUAUAUGAAGAAAAUCCAGGCUUUUGUGCCCAGUAUUGUAAAGGAUGUAUGGUUAAUGGAACCAAUCCAGGUGACAUUAAGAGCCAUGAAAACAGGCUUGGAUAUGGUUAGUAUAAAACAACGCUUCAUUUUUAUAUGGGUCGGAGGGGAUGGCUUACAGGCCUAAGCAUCAGCUUUGAAAUAUCGAGUCUCUCUCUAUACGCAGGUCUGGUUCAAGUCCCACUCAGGCUGUUCAAAUGAGAUCUUAAUAAAAUUCAAGGUUUUGUCUGCUCUGUGUGAACA
This 1030-nucleotide long non-coding RNA is filed under the name Chrysemys picta bellii (western painted turtle). RNAcentral describes it as "lncRNA (ENSCPBG00000006521.1)". The record is from RNAcentral. Lineage: Eukaryota; Metazoa; Chordata; Testudines; Emydidae.